Molecule: ribosomal RNA, 537 nt
Filed under: Trigonopterus sp. 245 AR-2022a
Lineage: Eukaryota; Metazoa; Arthropoda; Insecta; Coleoptera; Curculionidae
Description: partial large subunit ribosomal RNA
Rfam family: Bacterial large subunit ribosomal RNA
Source: RNAcentral
GGCUUGUUGAUAAUAAUUUCAGGUCUGACCUGCCCAAUGAAUGUUUUAAUGGCCGCAGUAAUUUGACUGUGCAAAGGUAGCAUAAUCAUUAGUUUUUUAAUUGAGAACUGGAAUGAAAGGUUUGAUGAGAAGAUUUCUGUCUCUAGAAAAAUUUAUUAGAAUUUUAUUUUUAAGUUAAAAAGCUUAAAUGGUCAUAGAAGACGAGAAGACCCUAUAGAGUUUUAUAUUUGUAAAAGAUUGGAAUUUUUUGGUAUAUAGGGUUUCCAGUAAUUUAGAGUAUUUUGUUGGGGUGACAGAAAAAUUUGUUUAACUUUUUUUAGAAUUGAAACAUUGAUUUAUGGGUGUAUGAUCCUUAAUUUAGAUUAUAAGAUUAAAUUACCUUAGGGAUAACAGCGUAAUUUUUUUAAGAGUUCUUAUCGGAAGAAAAGAUUGCGACCUCGAUGUUGGAUUAAAAUUUAUUUUUGGUGUAGAAGCUAGAAAAAUUAGGUCUGUUCGACCUUUAAAAUUUUACAUGAUCUGAGUUUAAACCGGCGUGAG